GGACAAUGUUUACUGUGAUUAGUGGACAGCGAUGACUGCACAAGUUGGAGAGUGAGUGUUAAAGAUGGGAAGUGUUUUACAUUAUAGGUGAAGAGUUGUCCAUCUCUGCGCAGUGGUCUACAUGCAGCUGUACGCCCGCUCAGUGAGUUGAACAGAGAGGAGUGUAGAGCAGUAAGACAGCGCCACCAAUUCUAGUCCGUGUUGUCAGCGAACCAGAUAUAAUGGGAGAGGAAAGUGCGGCUCCUAACUUCGAAAAUGUUUUAAUAAAAGAAACCCCUGCUGAGACCUCUCCACAAUUCAAAAACGAUGAAGAAACAAGUAAAUUGACCAUAUGUAACAAGUUAUCCUUUGGAAUUGGAGGUGUUCCAUAUGAGAUGGUUAGAAGUAUUUUAGGAUUCUUCCUGCAAAUCUUUCUAC
Molecule: long non-coding RNA, 417 nt
Organism: Rhincodon typus (whale shark)
Lineage: Eukaryota; Metazoa; Chordata; Chondrichthyes; Orectolobiformes; Rhincodontidae
Exons: 3
Source: RefSeq, a predicted model, not a curated record